GCCAGACUUGGAACCGGGAGAGGUAAGAGGUACUACAGGGGUAGGAGUGAAAUCUUGUAAUCCCUGUGGGACCACCUGUGGCGAAGGCGUCUACCAGAACGGGUUCGACGGUGAGGGACGAAAGCUGGGGGCACGAACCGGAUUAGAUACCCGGGUAGUCCCAGCCGUAAAACGAUGCUCGCUAGGUGUCAGGCAUGGCGCGACCGUGUCUGGUGCCGCAGGGAAGCCGUGAAGCGAGCCACCUGGGAAGUACGGCCGCAAGGCUGAAACUUAAAGGAAUUGGGCGGGGGAGCACAACAACGGGUGGAGCCCUGCGGUUUAAUUGGACUCAACGCCGGACAACUCACCGGGGGCGACAGCAAUAUGUAGGCCAAGCUGAAGACUUUGCCUGAAUCGCUGAGAAGUGGUGCAUGG
RNAcentral lists this ribosomal RNA (414 nucleotides) under uncultured archaeon. Its description in RNAcentral is "bacterial SSU rRNA". It matches the Rfam family "Archaeal small subunit ribosomal RNA", at positions 586 to 997 of the family's 1478-position model. The record is from RNAcentral.